RNAcentral lists this ribosomal RNA (874 nucleotides) under uncultured Mycobacteriales bacterium. Its description in RNAcentral is "bacterial SSU rRNA". It matches the Rfam family "Bacterial small subunit ribosomal RNA", at positions 29 to 916 of the family's 1533-position model. Lineage: Bacteria; Bacillati; Actinomycetota; Actinomycetes; Mycobacteriales. The record is from RNAcentral.
ACGAACGCUGGCGGCGUGCUUAACACAUGCAAGUCGAGCGAUGAAGUUUCUUCGGAAAUGGAUUAGCGGCGAACGGGUGAGGAACACGUGAAGAAUCUGCCCUCCACUUUGGGAUAACACCGGGAAACCGGUGCUAAUACCGAAUAUUGAAACAUAAGUGGCAUCACUGAGUUUUGAAAGAAUUUCGGUGGAGGAUGACUUCGCGGCCUAUCAGCUAGUUGGUGAGGUAAUGGCUCACCAAGGCAACGACGGGUAGCCGGCCUGAGAGGGCGACCGGCCACACUGGGACUGAGACACGGCCCAGACUCCUACGGGAGGCAGCAGUGGGGAAUAUUGGGCAAUGGAGGAAACUCUGACCCAGCGACGCCGCGUGCGGGAUGAAGGCCUUCGGGUUGUAAACCGCUUUCAGUAGGGAAGAAGCGAAAGUGACGGUACCUACAAAAGAAGCACCGGCUAACUAUGUGCCGGCAGCCGCGGUAAUACAUAGGGUGCAAGCGUUGUCCGGAAUUAUUGGGCGUAAAGAGCUCGUAGGUCGUUUGUUACGUCGGAUGUGAAAACCUGAGGCUCAACCUCAGGCCUGCAUUCGAUACGGGCAAACUAGAGUUUGGUAGGGGAGACUGGAAUUCCUGGUGUAGCGGUGGAAUGCGCAGAUAUCAGGAGGAACACCAAUGGCGAAGGCAGGUCUCUGGGCCAAUACUGACACUGAGGAGCGAAAGUCUGGGGAGCGAACAGGAUUAGAUACCCUGGUAGUCCAGACCGUAAACGGUGGGCACUAGUUGUGGGAACCUUCCACGGUUUCUGCGACGCAGCUAACGCAUUAAGUGCCCCGCCUGGGGAGUACGAUCGCAAGAUUAAAACUUAAAUGAAUUGACGG